Molecule: small nucleolar RNA, 57 nt
Filed under: Marmota marmota marmota (Alpine marmot)
Lineage: Eukaryota; Metazoa; Chordata; Mammalia; Rodentia; Sciuridae
Also listed under: 1 other name
Description: Small nucleolar RNA SNORD43
Rfam family: Small nucleolar RNA SNORD43
About the family: U43 is a C/D box small nucleolar RNA that is encoded in intron 1 of the ribosomal protein L3 gene in human and cow. Three other snoRNAs ( U82, U83a and U83b) are also encoded in the same host gene but from different introns.
Source: Rfam by way of RNAcentral
GAUAGAUGAUGAACUUAUUUAUGGGCAGAUAAAGAUUGUGUGCUGUCGUUCUGAUUU